RNAcentral lists this ribosomal RNA (875 nucleotides) under uncultured bacterium. Its description in RNAcentral is "bacterial SSU rRNA". It matches the Rfam family "Bacterial small subunit ribosomal RNA", at positions 520 to 1397 of the family's 1533-position model. The record is from RNAcentral.
GUAAUACGUAGGGUGCGAGCGUUGUCCGGAAUUAUUGGGCGUAAAGAGCUCGUAGGCGGUUUGUUGCGCCUGCUGUGAAAACCUGGGGCUUAACUUCGGGAUUGCAGUGGGUACGGGCAGACUAGAGUGUGGUAGGGGUAAUUGGAAUUCCUGGUGUAGCGGUGGAAUGCGCAGAUAUCAGGAGGAACACCGAUGGCGAAGGCAGGUUACUGGGCCACCACUGACGCUGAGGAGCGAAAGCGUGGGUAGCGAACAGGAUUAGAUACCCUGGUAGUCCACGCCGUAAACGUUGGGCACUAGGUGUGGGGCCUUUCCAUGGGUUCUGCGCCGUAGCUAACGCAUUAAGUGCCCCGCCUGGGGAGUACGGCCGCAAGGCUAAAACUCAAAGGAAUUGACGGGGGCCCGCACAAGCGGCGGAGCAUGCGGAUUAAUUCGAUGCAACGCGAAGAACCUUACCAAGGCUUGACAUACACCGGAAUCAUGCAGAGAUGUGUGAGUCUUCGGACUGGUGUACAGGUGGUGCAUGGUUGUCGUCAGCUCGUGUCGUGAGAUGUUGGGUUAAGUCCCGCAACGAGCGCAACCCUUGUCUCGUGUUGCCAGCAUUUAGUUGGGGACUCACGAGAGACUGCCGGGGUUAACUCGGAGGAAGGUGGGGAUGACGUCAAAUCAUCAUGCCCCUUAUGUCUUGGGCUUCACGCAUGCUACAAUGGCAAGUACAGAGUGUUGCGAGCCUGUGAGGGUGAGCGAAUCACUUAAAGCUUGUCUCAGUUCGGAUUGGGGUCUGCAACUCGACCCCAUGAAGUCGGAGUCGCUAGUAAUCGCAGAUCAGCAACGCUGCGGUGAAUACGUUCUCGGGCCUUGUACACACCGCCCGU